This 2396-nucleotide ribosomal RNA is filed under the name Staphylococcus aureus. RNAcentral's name for it is "bacterial LSU rRNA". It matches the Rfam family "Bacterial large subunit ribosomal RNA", at positions 14 to 2408 of the family's 2925-position model. Lineage: Bacteria; Bacillati; Bacillota; Bacilli; Caryophanales; Staphylococcaceae. The record is from RNAcentral.
AGGGCGCACGGUGGAUGCCUUGGCACUAGAAGCCGAUGAAGGACGUUACUAACGACGAUAUGCUUUGGGGAGCUGUAAGUAAGCUUUGAUCCAGAGAUUUCCGAAUGGGGAAACCCAGCAUGAGUUAUGUCAUGUUAUCGAUAUGUGAAUACAUAGCAUAUCAGAAGGCACACCCGGAGAACUGAAACAUCUUAGUACCCGGAGGAAGAGAAAGAAAAUUCGAUUCCCUUAGUAGCGGCGAGCGAAACGGGAAGAGCCCAAACCAACAAGCUUGCUUGUUGGGGUUGUAGGACACUCUAUACGGAGUUACAAAGGACGACAUUAGACGAAUCAUCUGGAAAGAUGAAUCAAAGAAGGUAAUAAUCCUGUAGUCGAAAAUGUUGUCUCUCUUGAGUGGAUCCUGAGUACGACGGAGCACGUGAAAUUCCGUCGGAAUCUGGGAGGACCAUCUCCUAAGGCUAAAUACUCUCUAGUGACCGAUAGUGAACCAGUACCGUGAGGGAAAGGUGAAAAGCACCCCGGAAGGGGAGUGAAAUAGAACCUGAAACCGUGUGCUUACAAGUAGUCAGAGCCCGUUAAUGGGUGAUGGCGUGCCUUUUGUAGAAUGAACCGGCGAGUUACGAUUUGAUGCAAGGUUAAGCAGUAAAUGUGGAGCCGUAGCGAAAGCGAGUCUGAAUAGGGCGUUUAGUAUUUGGUCGUAGACCCGAAACCAGGUGAUCUACCCUUGGUCAGGUUGAAGUUCAGGUAACACUGAAUGGAGGACCGAACCGACUUACGUUGAAAAGUGAGCGGAUGAACUGAGGGUAGCGGAGAAAUUCCAAUCGAACCUGGAGAUAGCUGGUUCUCUCCGAAAUAGCUUUAGGGCUAGCCUCAAGUGAUGAUUAUUGGAGGUAGAGCACUGUUUGGACGAGGGGCCCCUCUCGGGUUACCGAAUUCAGACAAACUCCGAAUGCCAAUUAAUUUAACUUGGGAGUCAGAACAUGGGUGAUAAGGUCCGUGUUCGAAAGGGAAACAGCCCAGACCACCAGCUAAGGUCCCAAAAUAUAUGUUAAGUGGAAAAGGAUGUGGCGUUGCCCAGACAACUAGGAUGUUGGCUUAGAAGCAGCCAUCAUUUAAAGAGUGCGUAAUAGCUCACUAGUCGAGUGACACUGCGCCGAAAAUGUACCGGGGCUAAACAUAUUACCGAAGCUGUGGAUUGUCCUUUGGACAAUGGUAGGAGAGCGUUCUAAGGGCGUUGAAGCAUGAUCGUAAGGACAUGUGGAGCGCUUAGAAGUGAGAAUGCCGGUGUGAGUAGCGAAAGACGGGUGAGAAUCCCGUCCACCGAUUGACUAAGGUUUCCAGAGGAAGGCUCGUCCGCUCUGGGUUAGUCGGGUCCUAAGCUGAGGCCGACAGGCGUAGGCGAUGGAUAACAGGUUGAUAUUCCUGUACCACCUAUAAUCGUUUUAAUCGAUGGGGGGACGCAGUAGGAUAGGCGAAGCGUGCGAUUGGAUUGCACGUCUAAGCAGUAAGGCUGAGUAUUAGGCAAAUCCGGUACUCGUUAAGGCUGAGCUGUGAUGGGGAGAAGACAUUGUGUCUUCGAGUCGUUGAUUUCACACUGCCGAGAAAAGCCUCUAGAUAGAAAAUAGGUGCCCGUACCGCAAACCGACACAGGUAGUCAAGAUGAGAAUUCUAAGGUGAGCGAGCGAACUCUCGUUAAGGAACUCGGCAAAAUGACCCCGUAACUUCGGGAGAAGGGGUGCUCUUUAGGGUUAACGCCCAGAAGAGCCGCAGUGAAUAGGCCCAAGCGACUGUUUAUCAAAAACACAGGUCUCUGCUAAACCGUAAGGUGAUGUAUAGGGGCUGACGCCUGCCCGGUGCUGGAAGGUUAAGAGGAGUGGUUAGCUUCUGCGAAGCUACGAAUCGAAGCCCCAGUAAACGGCGGCCGUAACUAUAACGGUCCUAAGGUAGCGAAAUUCCUUGUCGGGUAAGUUCCGACCCGCACGAAAGGCGUAACGAUUUGGGCACUGUCUCAACGAGAGACUCGGUGAAAUCAUAGUACCUGUGAAGAUGCAGGUUACCCGCGACAGGACGGAAAGACCCCGUGGAGCUUUACUGUAGCCUGAUAUUGAAAUUCGGCACAGCUUGUACAGGAUAGGUAGGAGCCUUUGAAACGUGAGCGCUAGCUUACGUGGAGGCGCUGGUGGGAUACUACCCUAGCUGUGUUGGCUUUCUAACCCGCACCACUUAUCGUGGUGGGAGACAGUGUCAGGCGGGCAGUUUGACUGGGGCGGUCGCCUCCUAAAAGGUAACGGAGGCGCUCAAAGGUUCCCUCAGAAUGGGUGGAAAUCAUUCAUAGAGUGUAAAGGCAUAAGGGAGCUUGACUGCGAGACCUACAAGUCGAGCAGGGUCGAAAGACG